RNAcentral lists this ribosomal RNA (433 nucleotides) under uncultured bacterium. Its description in RNAcentral is "partial 16S ribosomal RNA". It matches the Rfam family "Bacterial small subunit ribosomal RNA", at positions 29 to 507 of the family's 1533-position model. The record is from RNAcentral.
AACGAACGCUGGCGGCAUGCCUAACACAUGCAAGUCGAACGAGACCUUCGGGUCUAGUGGCGCACGGGUGCGUAACGCGUGGGAACCUGCCCUUAGGUUCGGAAUAACUCCCCGAAAGGGGUGCUAAUACCGGAUAAUGUCUUCGGACCAAAGAUUUAUCGCCUUUGGAUGGGCCCGCGUUGGAUUAGCUAGUUGGUAGGGUAAAAGCCUACCAAGGCGACGAUCCAUAGCUGGUCUGAGAGGAUGAUCAGCCACACUGGGACUGAGACACGGCCCAGACUCCUACGGGAGGCAGCAGUGGGGAAUAUAGGACAAUGGGCGAAAGCCUGAUCCAGCAAGGCCGCGUGAGUGAUGAAGGCCUUAGGGUUGUAAAGCUCUUUUACCCGGGAUGAUAAUGACAGUACCGGGAGAAUAAGCUCCGGCUAACUCCGUG